AAGCGAGGGCUGUAACUGCAAUUGCCAACGUCACCUUGAACCCUGAAAGAUCAGAAGACGACGUGUCUACAGUAUCAGUCGCUGUACCUAUUGGAGUUCUUGCAGCCGUCAUCAUUUCUGCGGUCAUUGGCAUUGUACUGUACAAGAAAGGUUGUAAGAAGGAGAUAAAGACCGAGUCUGAUACCUUGACCCCACUGACACAGACCACUGAGAUGUAGAGCAGACAGUCAUCCUGUAUGCGAAGUGUGUGUCUGAGAGUUACAUCAAUCAUGAAAACGAAGGACUGCACAUGUGAGAUGACUGUUGGAUCCUAAAAUUUAGCUGUAUGUCUUCACAUAAUGUUUAGCUACAAAACAGUUUUGGGUUCUGACUGGUCACCGAAAGAUUUAAACCAACGCCUACAGAAGCAAAGUGGUUAAUAAAAUUAGCAGCACAUCGAAGACGAAGAUGGACGUAAAAAGAAAGUUUUCGAUCAACACCUCUCUAUGAAAAUUAAAUUAAAUUAUUAUCUUCAGUGUUGGUGAAAAUCAUGACCUUUUGGGACCUGUAUAAAAAUUCUGCAAAUAUGGGCCAAACGCUGUAAGAUUAUAUCACCAGGAAUCUAUUAACCUGCAUCAAUUGUUUAAAAUGUUCAUUUAAAUAUUAUGUAUUUUGCGUGCUUUCCUUACAUUAUGACACUUUGCUUUAAGAUUGGUUCACAUCCUUUUUUUAAGCGUCGUGACCAAACAUUCUGCACGUUUUGCAAUAUUAAUUUACGUGUGUACCUAUUUCACACAAAAAAUUUCUGGUUUAUAAAACAGACACUGAGUUGGAGAAUGCAUAUACAAAAGGAGGAGUAUAAUGAGCUCUUUCUCUUAAAUGUUACCAUUGACGUGGUGGGGCCCUUACCCUUGCUGCCCUUAUAAAGAGGCUUAUUCUGUUAUUAAUACACAACUGAGUUAAUGUAUUUUUUCUUAAAUUCUGCGUGGUUCACAAGGUAUCAAAUGCAGCACUUUUAUGCUAUUAAUCUUACUUUGAAAUUAUUUUGUACUUUCAUAAACUUUUAUUGAUUGAUAUAUAUAAAUAUGGCACGAAACUAAUGGAAUACACCGCAAUCUUUAAAACUUUGGUUUCAUUGCUUAUAAAUAUUUGUUUAUUGUUCUUGAUAUCGAGCUUGCACACUCAAUUUUCUCCUUUUGUUAUACUACCUAAGGACGUACCUAGUUUCAUUAGCUGCUAAAACCUAUACAUUUUCCCUGAGGUAUUAUACAUGAUGUAAGGUCCGGGAAAACAUAAAAUGUGUUCUAAAUCAGGCAAGAAAAGUGAACCACUGUCUAUAGAAGUAUUUUAACUAAGUGACAGUUGAGCAAUAGUUCUUCGUAACUAGUCAUGAAAAUUCGAAGAGAGGUUUUUCAAAUUGUUUUUCAAGUAUGAACAAGUUUCUUCUGUCAGGACAGAUUUUUCAUUUGAGCUCCUGAGUGUGAAUAUCUUCCCUGUGUAGCUUAUCCUAGAGAUGAAUGUGUUACUGUAUUUGUUUCCCUGACAUAUGUGUGUGCACGUGCAGAUCCCCCUUUUCUGGAAAUUUUUCAGAUUAAGAAGUACACAUGGAUGCUUGUGCCUAGUCUCUUACCCCUAACCCCACAUACAAGCACAUACAAGCAGACAUAUACAGAUAAGCAGACAUGCUACAGAAGGACAAAGCAAACGACAGACAUAUAAAGAUUAUACACACUAAAGCACGAAACACACACACACACACGCAUUCACAUAUUUUUGCACACUCCUGCAUGCAUGCAAUGCGAUACAUAUACUGCUAAAAUCCUUUCUGCAAGCUCCAAAGAUUUAGCAGAACUUUAGUUUCGGGCAUUAGUAAUCUUAUUAGUAAUCCUCUUGACAUGGUUGCGAGCUACAGAUGUCGAACAUAAUACCAACGACAGUACCACACGUCCUCCUGGCAUUAGAAAUUAAUUUUCGGUUUACUCCAUAAGGAAGCAUCUCUCUGGAACUAUAAACGACGCUGUUGUUUACGGUGUUGCUUUUACUAAGUAUGGAAGUUAAAACAACGUACACUAAAAAAAAAAAAAAAAAAAAAA
Molecule: long non-coding RNA, 2072 nt
Organism: Pomacea canaliculata
Lineage: Eukaryota; Metazoa; Mollusca; Gastropoda; Architaenioglossa; Ampullariidae
Exons: 3
Source: RefSeq, a predicted model, not a curated record